CGGCCUUGGGCAUCACGGCCAGCCGGGCGCGGUACUUUGUGUGCGCGUCCUUGAGCGGCAGUUUCUUGGGCGUCGACACGGCGCCCUUGACCUUUUUGGCCGUCUUGGGCGCGCUGGACGAUGAUGAUGACGAUCCGGCCUUGGCCUUGCUCGUGGGCUUUUUCGUCGCCUUGCUGGUGGCGCCCUUGGUGGCGCUGGCCUUGGUCGAUGGUGUCUUUUUGGCGUUGGCGCCCGUCGUCUUUUUCGACGCCGGUUUGCCCGCGGCCUUGGUCGAUGACUUGGCAGAUGCCUUGGCCGUGGUCUUGGACGACCCGCUUGCGCCACUCUUUUUCGUCUUGGCCGACCCGCUCGUGGCACUCUUUUUCGUCUUGGUCGAGGACGACGUGCGCGCCCUCUUGGCCGGCGGUUCGCCGCUGGCCGCAAUGGCCUCCUUGGCCGCCGUCGAGGCCGCGCGCUUGCGGGCCUUUUUCUUCUCGGCAAUGGCCCUCGCCUGGGCCGACGCGACGCGCGCCUCGGCCUGACCCGUGGCCGAUGUCGCGUGGAUGAUCUCG
RNAcentral lists this long non-coding RNA (551 nucleotides) under Pandoravirus quercus. Its description in RNAcentral is "hypothetical ncRNA". The record is from RNAcentral.